AAUGAACGCUGGCGGCAUGCCUAACACAUGCAAGUCGAACGAAGCCUUCGGGCUUAGUGGCGCACGGGUGCGUAACGCGUGGGAAUCUGCCCUUGGGUUCGGAAUAACAGUUAGAAAUGACUGCUAAUACCGAAUGAUGUCGUAAGACCAAAGAUUUAUCGCCCAGGGAUGAGCCCGCGUAGGAUUAGCUAGUUGGUGUGGUAAAGGCGCACCAAGGCGACGAUCCUUAGCUGGUCUGAGAGGAUGAUCAGCCACACUGGGACUGAGACACGGCCCAGACUCCUACGGGAGGCAGCAGUGGGGAAUAUUGGACAAUGGGCGAAAGCCUGAUCCAGCAAUGCCGCGUGAGUGAUGAAGGCCUUAGGGUUGUAAAGGCUCUUUUACCCGGGAUGAUAAUGACAGUACCGGGAGAAUAAAGCUCCGGCUAAACUCCGUGCCAGCAGCCG
Molecule: ribosomal RNA, 446 nt
Filed under: uncultured bacterium
Lineage: Bacteria
Description: bacterial SSU rRNA
Rfam family: Bacterial small subunit ribosomal RNA
Source: RNAcentral